Molecule: long non-coding RNA, 5195 nt
Organism: Brassica rapa (field mustard)
Lineage: Eukaryota; Viridiplantae; Streptophyta; Magnoliopsida; Brassicales; Brassicaceae
Source: RefSeq, a predicted model, not a curated record
CCAGGAUUGUGGUUUGGCUACGAGUUUUGUAAUGGAUUUUCGCCAUGGGAAUCGAAUCUAAAAGUUGGGUUCUCUACAAGCAAGGAAAGAGGCUAAUCUGAGUGAGUUACACAGAGAAACUCAAGCGCACUUUUGGGAAACAAUUUAUAUAUAUGCAUCUAGCAAAGCAAGAGCUGACACGGGAAAAACAGUGAAAGGAAAAUUCGUGAAAGCUGGCGACAACUAUGAAUAUGACCCAUCACCAUCACUAACGACGAAUCAUUGAGUUUUUUGUUUUCCCUAAAACAGUUUCUUGUCGGAAAAGUUAGACAACCUCUUUAAGUUUCUGUUUACAGUUUUUUUUUCUUUUAAUUGGAUAGAGGAAGAUCAACAUCUUGCGGCAUGGAACGCUGGAGAACUGCUCGAAGAAUCUUAGAAGUAAUAAAAGUGAAGAAAUAGGGGUGGAAAGACAUGGUGAAAUAACUUUGCUUCCUUUUUUACAUUUUACAAAUAUUAUUUCUAGCGAACGAUUCCUUUCAUAAAUAAAGUAACAGUGGUUACAAUAUUUCUUCAUUCUGUCUUUCUCCAUAAGUUGUAAGUUGUAAGUUGUAACAGAGGGUGACGAUUAACGUGUCUUAUGAUUAUUAAAGAAACUGAUUCUUCCUGGUUUGUAAGUUGUAACAAGAAAUUUCCAGUCUUUUGCCCAUAAUAUUUUCGGACCAAAGAUCGCUGAACAAGUUAAAGUAUCCGUCUCUGUCUUACUAUAGAAUAAUUAUAUUUCCUAAAUUUAUUUGACUAGUGAGUUAUUUUUGCCUAUACACUCAUAACAUUUAGCAUUGCAUGAAGAUGUUCAACAUAUGUGAAAAGUUUAGAAGUAAUUCUGAUAUAAAAUUAACAAAAAUGGUGUUGGAGCCCGGUUUCACCCAGCUCCAGACCUGGUCUGAGAUCCUGACCUGAAAGCGAUGAAGUCCAAAUAUAGUCACUAAUGAAGCCCAAGGAAAGAAUAUAGGUCUACCAAGGUUAAAUCCCACCUCGGGCUUAAGAAGUAAAAUAUGUCAACCGAAACGUAAAGGAGUCAAGAGUAUAGAAGAUCAUCAUUAAAGUGCCUAACCAAAAAUAUACAUUUUCCAAAGCUAAUCAUAGCUUAAUCUUUCUAUUUCGAGUUUGCUUGUUAGUCAAGUUUCUAUUUCCAAAAACUCUAUUUCUCAGUGUACUUUAGAAUUCAUCAAAUGAUAUGUAAGAAAGACAAAAAAGUGCAAAAAGUGGUUUCACCGUUUUGUCGAUAAUCUAAACAAUAUAAAUAGUAUUUUCCUAACGAUAACUGAAUCCGAGUGGCAGAAUGCCUAUUAGACACUGUUUUAAUAGCUCGCUGGCAAAAGGAUGGUUUCACCUAUUUGGAGAGAAUCUAAACAAUAUAAAUAGUUCAUUCCGACAAAAAUUGAACCCGAAAGUUCGUGAAAAUAAUCAACGAAAAGCCAGCAGAAAAUCUCUAUUAUUCCCUUGUACCCAGUGGCGGAGGUAGAAACAAAACUCAAUGGAAUCAAAAUCAUAUGUGAAAAAAGUUAUUAGAGAUUUCACAAUAAACAAGGGGGGUCAAACCCUUGAACCAACUGAGCCCCCUAAUCCUUCAUUGCCUCCGCCACUGCUUAUGCCUGAAGACUGCACCGUUUGAUUGAGUCUUGCUUGGAUUUUGAAUUUGGUGGUCUGAUUUAGUAUUAUUUCCUUUCAGUUUCAAACAUAUUGAAGAGUUGAAUAUAAUUUAAACCUUCUUCCUUUACUUUCAGUUGCAGAGACGUUUUCGUUUUUGCUAUAUAUAAACACAUUUCUUAGAGUUCUAGUAAUGAGCUUCAUAAUUUUUUUUUUUUAGCUUCACAAAUUACAUUUUGUUAAAUGUGUUUAGAUUAUAAAACCGAAGUGAUGAACAUAUGUAAACUAUGCCAUAAAAGUAUUAUGAUAAUACUUUUUGUAGUUUUGAUAUAUAUAUAUCAUGUAAUUUUGCAUUUUUGUAAAGUUCAGUCAAUUAUAUUUUUUUUGAACAAAAAUUCUUUUUUUUGGCAACAUUUUCAUUAGCUUAAAAAACAGAGUACAAUGGUCAGUUACUGAGCCAUGAUAUUACAUAUUGCUGGUCCAUUAAUUUGGCUCUUUUUGCUAACAUAUCAACAUAAUGUACAAGAUUUCUAGGAACUUUCUCAAAAGACAUUUUUUAGAGCUUCGAAAGGUUAACGAUGUCUAGAACCAUUAUUGAGGCUUCAUUGCAGAAGUGGUUGCAAUCCUUUAAGCUCUUGUGAAGUUGCGCAUUGUCUCCUACAAACAUUACAUUAGCAUAUCGUAGCCGGUGCAGUUGUUGAACCGCUAGCAAGGUUGCCGUUGCCUCAGCUUCAAGCGAUGAGUUUGUUGGAGCGAUUGCAGAGAUUCCCUGGAUAAUAAGGGUGCCUUGUCGACUAUAUAAGGACCACCCUAUACCAGCUCUUUCAUGAGGGGACUUCCAAGAAGCAUCUACAAUAUAGUAUUAGCAUGGUUCUCGAGUGGAAUAUCUUCAACGGAAUGACAAUGAGUUGCUGGACUAUCCGAUGCAACAGGUUCAUUAAACUGCAAGGCUUCCUUCCAUAGAUUAAAAUCCAUAAUGGCUGCUUUGAUGACCUGUACGAUAUGAACUCUAAUGUUUUCGAAUAGUAAUAUGUUCCGCAUUUUCCAUAUUAUUCAUCCUAGAAACAAAGCUAAAGAGCCAUGCCUUUCUCUUUUACCAUCCAUUACUAGGUGUUGCACUGACUGCAACAUAUCCAUAUUCAAACUGAAGCUCUGUGAAAGUUCAUGACAUGCUAAGUUCCAAAUCUCUCUGGAUACUCUACACUCGUAUAACAGAUGAGAUAAUGAUUAGUGACCUUCACCACAGAGCUGACAAUCCAUAUUUAUCCUACAUCUGCUUCUAACUAGGUUGGUUGCUACUUGCAAUCCAUUAUGGAGCACUUUCCACCAAAAGAUUUUAAGCUUAGGAGGUAUAUUUAGUGACCAUAAUUUUCUAAUAACUUGAUUGCGCAAUUGAGUAGAAGAGGGGGAUUGAACCUGAUCAUUAUGUGCAUCCUCGUCAUCCAUCUAUUUUUGAACGUGAUAACCGGACUUGACUGUGUACUUCCCGGUUUUGCUUAGCCUCCAAUAUAACAUGUCAUUGCUUCGUAUUAUGCUUGGAAGAAAAUGCAUUAUUCUUUGAACGUCCUCAUACUGAAAUAACUGUUGAACUAAUGGUUGAUUCCAGGGGGAUGAUCCUGCAAUAAAAUGAUCCUUUACUCGAAGAUUUGGAUGAAUAAACAUGCCAGGACCUGAAGGUGUGGCUUUAGAUCCUCCUAAUAACCAGUUAUCAUGCCAUACUCUUAUUUGAGUUCCUUUACCAACUGCCCAAUGCAUUCCUUUUUAGAAUGAUUGGCCUGGCCUGAAUGAUACUCUUCCAUGCUAGGCUUGAAGACGGGUAGCUUCUAGCUUCUAGAAAAUCAGUUUUCUGUAGUAUUUUGCCUUAUAGACUCGCGCCAAUAGAGAUGCAGGACAAGUGAUUAAUCUCCAUGCUUGUUUUGCUAAUAAGGAUUUAUUGAAAGCCAUCAUAUCUCUAAUCUCAAUUCCUCCAUCUCUCUUAGAAGCUGUUAUUUUGCUCCAAGCUAUCUAUGGAAUAGAAUGUUUAUCCUGAAAUGCAGACCACCAAAAUUUUCUCAUUGCUUUUGUAAUCUCCUGAAUCAACGUUUUUGGCAAUAAGAAACAUGACAUUGUGUAUGUUGGUAAGGCUGUGAUAACUGAUUUUAGCAGAAUCUCAUUACCAGCUGGAGAAAGGAGUUUAGAGUACCAGCUCUCUAGCUUAUUUUUAGUUCUUUGCACUAUGAAUUGGAAAGCCUCUUUCCUCUUUUUUCCUAUUUGUUCCGGCAAUAGUCCGAAACCAUCCACUUUAGUAAAAUAGAAACUCAAAAUCAAAAUAGUAAUAUUAACAAGAAUAUUAUGUUAGUUAUUUUGUAUAAGAAAUCGAAAGUACAUUUUAUGCAAAUCAAUGUUAAAAUAUUUAAAGUAACAAAAACAUCUAAAAAAAUUUACAAUGUAUAAAAACAAAAAAAAUUAUAAUAUCAUUUAAAUUACAGAAAUUAUUAAUGUAUAUACAAGUGAUUGUCAAACUUUUCAAAUAUUAUUAAAUAAUUUGUAAUAUAUAAAAGUUUAUGUUAUAAGCCAUAUAGAUUGUCUAAAUCAGAUUUAAAAUUAUUAAUCAGAACAUGUCAAAUUAUUACAAAAGUUCAUUUUUUCUAAAACGUCAAAAUUCCAAUUAGAGCCUAUACGUCAUUCAGGGUGUUCAAAUAAGAUUUAAAACAAUCAAUCAAAAUAUAAAAAAUCAUUAUUAUAAUUUAUAAUUUAUUAUUAUUUUUAAAAUGUUAAUAUUUCCAAAAGAAUAAAGAACAAAAUAACUAUAUUAUAUAUAAUUUAACUAAUAAAAUAAGUAUUAACAUUUGACAAGUUACUUUAAAAUACUAAAUUUUAUUACAAUAUAAAAAAUAAAAGAAAAAUAGUAAUAUUAACAAAGUAUUAUGUUAUCAAUUUUGUAGAAUAUAUCCAAAGUAUUUUUUAUGCCAAAAUAAAAUGGUAAAUUAAUGUUAAAAUAGUUAAAUUAACAAAAUAUUUAAAAUUUUAACAUUUAUAAAACAAGAAAUUUCCUAAUAUCAUUUAAACAAAAUAAAGUAUUAGUUUGAUUGUAAAUAAUUGUCAAAAUUUCAUAAUAUCAGUGAAUGAUUUAUUAUAUAUAAAAAAAUGAGGUUAUAGGCCUUAGAUUAUCUACAUCAGAUUUAACCCCACCAAUCGAAACAUGUCAAAUUAUUACAAUAGUAUUUUAUUUUCUAAAAUGUUAAAUUCCCAAAUAUCAAAAAAUUACAAAAUGUUUACUAUUUCAUAAAAUGUAAAAUUUUACAAAUGUUAAAUUAUUACGAAAAUCUUACUAUUUUUUUAGAUGUCAAAAUUUCUAGAAAGAAUUCUUUCAAAAUGAAAUAGAAUUCCAUAUAAUUUAGGUAAACUAAAAUAAGGAAACCGAAUUAAAAAUUAAAUUAAUAUAUAUAUAUAUAUAUAUAUAUAUAUAUAUAUACUAUGAUGCUGAUUUAAUAUAAAAAUAAAUAAUAUUUUAUAUUUUAAAAUUUGAAGCAAAAUAUAAUUUUUAGCAUAACUAUUUUAAGCAUAAAAAUAGAAAAAACUAAUAUGAA